AGGAGAGUUUGAUCCUGGCUCAGGAUGAACGCUGGCGGCGUGCCUAACACAUGCAAGUCGAACGGAGUUUAUUCGCUGACGAGGCUUCGGCCAGAUCUUGAAUAAACUUAGUGGCGGACGGGUGAGUAACGCGUGGGCAACCUGCCUCAUACUGGGGGAUAGCAGUUGGAAACGACUGAUAAUACCGCAUAAGCGCACGGAGUCGCAUGACCCUGUGUGAAAAACUCCGGUGGUAUGAGAUGGGCCCGCGUCAGAUUAGCUAGUUGGUAAGGUAAUGGCUUACCAAGGCGACGAUCUGUAGCCGGACUGAGAGGUCGGACGGCCACAUUGGGACUGAGACACGGCCCAAACUCCUACGGGAGGCAGCAGUGGGGGAUAUUGCACAAUGGAGGAAACUCUGAUGCAGCGACGCCGCGUGAGUGAAGAAGUAUUUCGGUAUGUAAAGCUCUAUCAGCAGGGAAGAAAGGCCCGCAAGGGAGAUGACGGUACCUGACUAAGAAGCCCCGGCUAACUACGUGCCAGCAGCCGCGGUAAUACGUAGGGGGCAAGCGUUAUCCGGAUUUACUGGGUGUAAAGGGAGCGCAGACGGCUAUGCAAGUCUGAAGUGAAACCCCACGGCUCAACCGUGGGCUUGCUUUGGAAACUGUAUAGCUAGAGUACUGGAGAGGUAAGCGGAAUUCCUAGUGUAGCGGUGAAAUGCGUAGAUAUUAGGAGGAACAUCGGUGGCGAAGGCGGCUUACUGGACAGCAACUGACGUUGAGGCUCGAAGGCGUGGGGAGCAAACAGGAUUAGAUACCCUGGUAGUCCCCU
RNAcentral lists this ribosomal RNA (810 nucleotides) under uncultured Bacillota bacterium. RNAcentral describes it as "bacterial SSU rRNA". It matches the Rfam family "Bacterial small subunit ribosomal RNA", at positions 1 to 799 of the family's 1533-position model. Lineage: Bacteria; Bacillati; Bacillota. The record is from RNAcentral.